RNAcentral lists this ribosomal RNA (542 nucleotides) under uncultured bacterium. RNAcentral's name for it is "bacterial SSU rRNA". It matches the Rfam family "Bacterial small subunit ribosomal RNA", at positions 8 to 586 of the family's 1533-position model. The record is from RNAcentral.
AGAGUUUGAUCAUGGCUCAGAACGAACGCUGGCGGCCGGCCUAACACAUGCAAGUCGAGCGAGAAGCCACCUUCGGGUGGCGGACAGCGGCGGACGGGUGAGUAAUGCGUGGGAAUAUGCCCUUUGGUGCGGGAUAGCCCUUGGAAACGAGGAGUAAUACCGCAUGUGCCCUACGGGGGAAAGAUUUAUCGCCAAAGGAUUAGCCCACGUUGGAUUAGCUGGUUGGUGAGGUAAAGGCUCACCAAGGCGACGAUCUAUAGCUGGUUUGAGAGGAUGAUCAGCCACACUGGGACUGAGACACGGCCCAGACUCCUACGGGAGGCAGCAGUGGGGAAUAUUAGACAAUGGGGGCAACCCUGAUCUAGCCAUGCCGCGUGAGUGAAGAAGGCCCUAGGGUUGUAAAGCUCUUUCAGAUGUGAGGAUGAUGACAGUAACAUCAGAAGAAGCCCCGGCUAACUUCGUGCCAGCAGCCGCGGUAAUACGAAGGGGGCAAGCGUUGUUCGGAAUUACUGGGCGUAAAGAGCGCGUACGCGGACUGGCCA